Molecule: non-coding RNA, 71 nt
Organism: Cajanus cajan (pigeon pea)
Lineage: Eukaryota; Viridiplantae; Streptophyta; Magnoliopsida; Fabales; Fabaceae
Source: Rfam
GGAGGUAUGGCUGAGUGGCUUAAGGCAUUGGUUUGCUAAAUCGACAGAGGGAGAAAAAUCUUUUCUCUUCA